This is a long non-coding RNA of Caretta caretta (loggerhead turtle), 623 nucleotides long. RefSeq lists it as uncharacterized. NCBI's taxonomy places the organism in Eukaryota, Metazoa, Chordata, Testudines, Cheloniidae. The record is from RefSeq and is a predicted model, not a curated record.
GCGGCCAAUCCCGAGCCGCCCCCACCCCACGAGUCUCGCCCCUGAACUGGAAGAGCCGAGGAGGGGGUUGGGGGAGGUGUCACACCCAAAUGGCGUGGAAGCAGUGCACGGUUGCAGAAGUCACUUGGAUCGCCUCCAAUUGAGUGGGGCACUUGAGGAAACAAUUGUCUAGGACCCAUCUGUGCGUAGUGAUGGCUUCCCAAUUGGUAAGAAACAGUCGUAGAUGGUGUCCAAAGAAAUGGAUGGUUGAAACUGGUGCUGAAGAGGGUGUGAGGCUUUCUUUCUAUACCCUCAACCAAGACUUCAAAUUUGUUUAUUUGAGGUGGCUGGAUGCCUAAAGAUCUGAGUGUGGCAAGUGAGUCCUUCAUGGAAUGGAGGGCCUCAUUGGUCAUAGAGGUGAAGAACUUGUCCCCUUCGAUGGGGACAUCUUUGACAGUGCUCUGUAUCUUCUUGGGAAAGGAGGAAGAAGCAAACCAUCAGGCAUGCCGCAUGAUGAUGGCCACGGCUGUGGAUCUGGUGGCUGCAUCAACAGCAUUGAGGGCAGCCUGAAGAGCUGUGCGGGAGAUCAAUUGGCCCUCAGACACCACUGCUUUGAAUUGUUGUUGUUUGUCUUCUGACACAUC